CGGGUCGACCGGACGGUCGCGUCACCGGCCGCAUCGUCGGCCGGCGCCGAGGAACGUCCGGGCUGCAGAGAGGGGAUCGGUGGGUAACGCCCACCCGGGGCAACCCGCGAGAAAGUGCAACAGAGAGCAGACCGCCGGAUCCGGUUCGCCGGAUCCGGUAAGGGUGAAAGGGUGGUGUAAGAGACCACCGGCGCUCGUGGUGACACGGGCGGCCAGGUAAACCUCGGUCGCAGCAAGGCCAGACAGCAGGCGUUGACGCUCCUCGCCGAGCCUGCGGGUAGGCCGCUAGAGCUCGCCGGCAACGGCGGGCCGAGAGAGAUGACCGUCACCGCCUCGUGCGCGAGGCGGUACAGAACCCGGCGUACAGGUCGGCCCGUUCC
This 380-nucleotide RNase P RNA is filed under the name Leucobacter sp. RNAcentral describes it as "RNase P RNA component class A". It matches the Rfam family "Bacterial RNase P class A". Rfam says of the family: Ribonuclease P (RNase P) is a ubiquitous endoribonuclease, found in archaea, bacteria and eukarya as well as chloroplasts and mitochondria. Its best characterised activity is the generation of mature 5'-ends of tRNAs by cleaving the 5'-leader elements of precursor-tRNAs. Cellular RNase Ps are ribonucleoproteins. The record is from RNAcentral. Lineage: Bacteria; Bacillati; Actinomycetota; Actinomycetes; Micrococcales; Microbacteriaceae.